RNAcentral lists this ribosomal RNA (492 nucleotides) under uncultured bacterium. RNAcentral describes it as "partial 16S ribosomal RNA". It matches the Rfam family "Bacterial small subunit ribosomal RNA", at positions 29 to 507 of the family's 1533-position model. The record is from RNAcentral.
AGUGAACGCUGGCGGUAGGCCUAACACAUGCAAGUCGAACGGCAGCACAGUAAGAGCUUGCUCUUACGGGUGGCGAGUGGCGGACGGGUGAGGAAUACAUCGGAAUCUACUUUUUCGUGGGGGAUAACGUAGGGAAACUUACGCUAAUACCGCAUACGACCUACGGGUGAAAUCAGGGGAUCUUCGGACCUUGCGCGUUUGAAUGAGCCGAUGUCGGAUUAGCUCGUUGGCGGGGUAGAGGCCUACCAAGGCGACGAUCCGUAGCUGGUCUGAGAGGAUGAUCGACCACACUGGAACUGAUACGCGGUCCAGACUCCUACGGGGGGCAGCAGUGGGGAAUAUUGGACAAUGGGCGGAGGCCUGAUCCAGCCAUACCGCGUGGGUGAAGAAGGCCUUCGGGUUGUAAAGCCCUUUUGUUGGGAAAGAAAAGCAGCAGGUUAAUACCCCGCUGUUCCGACGGUACCCAAAGAAUAAGCGCCGGCUAACUUCGUG